This 351-nucleotide ribosomal RNA is filed under the name Triticum aestivum (bread wheat). RNAcentral's name for it is "partial small subunit ribosomal RNA". Lineage: Eukaryota; Viridiplantae; Streptophyta; Magnoliopsida; Poales; Poaceae. The record is from RNAcentral.
AUGUAUAUUUGUCUUGAUGCCUGCAAAAAGGGUUUCCUAGCUGGUUGUAGAAGAGUUGUGGGGUUAGAUGGUUGUUUUCUGAAGGGGUCAGUGUCAGGUCAAAUAUUGUGUGCAAUUGGCAGAGAUGCCAACAAUCAAAUGUACCCUAUAGCAUGGGCCAUAGUUGAGGUUGAAUCAUAUGACUCAUGGUAUUGGUUCAUGUCAUUGCUUCAGAAGUAUCUGCAGAUAAGCAACCAUGGAGAUGGAUGGGUCUUCAUAUCUGAUCAACAAAAGGGACUCAUCAGAUCUAUCAAUGAAAUUGUGCCUGAAGCGGAGCAUAGAAUGUGUGCUAGGCAUAUUUAUGCCAACUAG